Molecule: small RNA, 27 nt
Filed under: Bombyx mori (domestic silkworm)
Lineage: Eukaryota; Metazoa; Arthropoda; Insecta; Lepidoptera; Bombycidae
Description: ovarian small RNA-26054
Source: RNAcentral
UCAUCCCACGUCAGGAACUCAGGUCCA